This 291-nucleotide ribosomal RNA is filed under the name uncultured bacterium. RNAcentral's name for it is "partial 16S ribosomal RNA". It matches the Rfam family "Bacterial small subunit ribosomal RNA", at positions 29 to 305 of the family's 1533-position model. The record is from RNAcentral.
AAUGAACGCUGGCGGCGUGCCUAACACAUGCAAGUCGAACGCGAAAGCCCUUCGGGGUAAGUAGAGUGGCGUCCGGGUGAGUAACACGUGGGUAAUCUACCUUCGGGUGGGGAAUAACUCAGGGAAACUUGAGCUAAUACCGCAUAAUGCAGCGGCACCCUAAUGGUGAUUAGUUGUUAAAGCGGGGGAUCGCAAGACCUCGCGCCUGAAGAGGAGCCUGCGGCAGAUUAGCUAGNGGUGAGGUAAUGGCUCACCAAGGCUUCGAUCUGUAGCUGGUCUGAGAGGACGGCC